Molecule: ribosomal RNA, 505 nt
Filed under: uncultured bacterium
Lineage: Bacteria
Description: partial 16S ribosomal RNA
Rfam family: Bacterial small subunit ribosomal RNA
Source: RNAcentral
GACGAACGCUGGCGGCGUGCCUAAUACAUGCAAGUAGAACGCACAGUUUAUACCGUAGCUUGCUACACCAUAAACUGUGAGUUGCGAACGGGUGAGUAACGCGUAGGUAACCUGCCUGGUAGCGGGGGAUAACUAUUGGAAACGAUAGCUAAUACCGCAUAAUAUUAAUUAUUGCAUGAUAAUUGAUUGAAAGAUGCAAUUGCAUCACUACCAGAUGGACCUGCGUUGUAUUAGCUAGUAGGUGAGGUAACGGCUCACCUAGGCGACGAUACAUAGCCGACCUGAGAGGGUGAUCGGCCACACUGGGACUGAGACACGGCCCAGACUCCUACGGGAGGCAGCAGUAGGGAACCUUCGGCAAUGGACGAAAGUCUGACCGAGCAACGCCGCGUGAGUGAAGAAGGUUUUCGGAUCGUAAAGCUCUGUUGUAAGAGAAGAACGGGUGUGAGAGUGGAAAGUUCACACUGUGACGGUAUCUUACCAGAAAGGGACGGCUAACUACGUG